Molecule: transfer RNA, 81 nt
Filed under: Cyanophora biloba
Lineage: Eukaryota; Glaucocystophyceae; Cyanophorales; Cyanophoraceae
Description: tRNA-Leu
Rfam family: tRNA
About the family: Transfer RNA (tRNA) molecules are approximately 80 nucleotides in length. Their secondary structure includes four short double-helical elements and three loops (D, anti-codon, and T loops).
Source: RNAcentral
GCGGAUAUGGUGGAAUUGGUAGACACGCACGUUUGAGGGGCGUGUAGAUUAACUGUGCGAGUUCAAAUCUCGCUAUCCGCA